Molecule: ribosomal RNA, 511 nt
Filed under: Salmonella enterica
Lineage: Bacteria; Pseudomonadati; Pseudomonadota; Gammaproteobacteria; Enterobacterales; Enterobacteriaceae
Also listed under: 1 other name
Description: partial 23S ribosomal RNA
Rfam family: Bacterial large subunit ribosomal RNA
Source: RNAcentral
AAUCCAUAGGUUAAUGAGGCGAACCGGGGGAACUGAAACAUCUAAGUACCCCGAGGAAAAGAAAUCAACCGAGAUUCCCCCAGUAGCGGCGAGCGAACGGGGAGGAGCCCAGAGCCUGAAUCAGCAUGUGUGUUAGUGGAAGCGUCUGGAAAGGCGCGCGAUACAGGGUGACAGCCCCGUACACAAAAGCGCAUGUGCUGUGAGCUCGAUGAGUAGGGCGGGACACGUGGUAUCCUGUCUGAAUAUGGGGGGACCAUCCUCCAAGGCUAAAUACUCCUGACUGACCGAUAGUGAACCAGUACCGUGAGGGAAAGGCGAAAAGAACCCCGGCGAGGGGAGUGAAAAAGAACCUGAAACCGUGUACGUACAAGCAGUGGGAGCACCCUUUGGGUGUGACUGCGUACCUUUUGUAUAAUGGGUCAGCGACUUAUAUUCUGUAGCAAGGUUAACCGAAUAGGGGAGCCGGAGGGAAACCGAGUCUUAACCGGGCGUUAAGUUGCAGGGUAUAGAC